This 497-nucleotide ribosomal RNA is filed under the name uncultured bacterium. Its description in RNAcentral is "partial 16S ribosomal RNA". It matches the Rfam family "Bacterial small subunit ribosomal RNA", at positions 28 to 507 of the family's 1533-position model. The record is from RNAcentral.
GAUGAACGCUGGCGGCGUGCCUAAUACAUGCCAGUCGAGCGAACAGACGAGGAGCUUGCUCCUUCGACGUUAGCGGCGGACGGGUGAGUAACACGUAGGUAACCUACCUAUAAGACUGGGAUAACUUCGGGAAACCGGAGCUAAUACCGGAUAAUAUUUCGAACCGCAUGGUUCGAUAGUGAAAGAUGGCUUUGCUAGCACUUAUAGAUGGACCUGCGCCGUAUUAGCUAGUUGGUAAGGUAACGGCUUACCAAGGCAACGAUACGUAGCCGACCUGAGAGGGUGAUCGGCCACACUGGAACUGAGACACGGUCCAGACUCCUACGGGAGGCAGCAGUAGGGAAUCUUCCGCAAUGGGCGAAAGCCUGACGGAGCAACGCCGCGUGAGUGAUGAAGGUCUUCGGAUCGUAAAACUCUGUUAUUAGGGAAGAACAAACGUGGAAGUAACUGUGCACGUCUUGACGGUACCUAAUCAGAAAGCCACGGCUAACUACGUG